This is a long non-coding RNA of Sarcophilus harrisii (Tasmanian devil), 1343 nucleotides long. RefSeq lists it as uncharacterized. The transcript is spliced from 3 exons. Lineage: Eukaryota; Metazoa; Chordata; Mammalia; Dasyuromorphia; Dasyuridae. The record is from RefSeq and is a predicted model, not a curated record.
CCCCUCCCUCCUUUCUCCCUGGGUGAAACACGUGGUGUACAGCCCUGACUGGGCCACUUUCCACUGUGAGUGUGUAUCUAAUGUUUAGCAAUGGGCUCCUUUCAGAAAAGCCCCCACUGCUGUAUGACAACCUGUCUACACGAUUUUACAGCUGUCCAACAUUGGGGUUUUGCUGUUUUGCAGCCUUAGUGUGUCCCCUUUAAACAAAAACAACUGUGCUGCUAUUUUUUCCACCUUUAACACUGAGUCCCCCUUGUCGUCGAUCGGCUCGGGAACAAAUGAGAAUGGUCGUCGGAGGAAGAGGAGGCUUUACAGUCUCUUCACUGUUAAAGGGAGAAGAAAACUAGCUGAAUUCAUUCCCAUUCUCGUUUGACUGCUUCCUCGCAUUCCUCACCAGCUGCAAUACUUUCACAACUGCAUGUGUUCUUAGGCAACCAAGCAAAUUGGACAGGAAAAUUACCAUCAAGAUCACCACUAAAUGAAAGAGAGAGAGGAAAAAAGAAAAAAAAAUCAAGAAAUAUUGGAGAAUUUUCUAUUUUCUUCUUCCACUCAAAAAAAAAAAAGUACAAGAAGAAGGUAACUGGUAUCCUCCCCUUUCAAAUUCCCAUGUCUCCCUUAUUAAAGCAAAAUGUUUAAAUGGGAAUGAAUUAUUUAGAUUACACUUUAAAUGGCCUAGUGUUAACAAGGAAAAUAAGUCCCCCAAAAGGUAUAUAAAACUUUGUUCCUCUGCUAUAUUGUUGCUUUUGUUUUAAACUUUGAGUUAAAAAAAAAUCCCACUAACUAUUUUUGACAUCCAAUGUCUGCAUUGGUUGAAUGUCCUCUUAACUUAGAUCAAAUCCUCUUCUCCAUCCCCUCACCCCAUUCUAAUAACAGGAUACCAAUUUAUUAGCAAAAACAUUUUAACCUCAAGAGCAAUUAGUAAGAAAGAACACUGAAAAAAGAGCUGAGACCAGAAUGAAGUACAGUCACCUUUUGACGGGAGAGCUCAUGAAUACAGUAAUUCUAGGAGAAAGAAAUGGAGUAUAACUAUGGACGUUAAUGUGACUAUACCUGCUGUAAUUGUUUAAGACAAAUUGUACGGUACUUAAAAUAAGUUGACCCAAAUGGCCAAGCACCUCGAAUUCAAAGAUCAGAUAAUAGAUAAAUUUCACUUGAAUAACCCUACGCUCCACCCCCACCCUGCCCCACCUCCCCCCAAACAAAAACAAAACAAAAACAAAAACAAAAACAAAACACGAUCCUCAGGAAUUUGCAUAAGAUUGUUCUUCCCAGGUUCUCUAGGCUGAAUCCACAGCCAAACGGUUUUCUUUUCUCCUCCUCCUCCUCCUCCUCCCUCUCCUUCU